UUUUAGCCCUGAUGGGAGCGGCAUCCUUGUUGGGGCUCUUUUUUGAGCCUCAGCAAGAUAUAGCGUACAGCAGGACGAGGC
Molecule: small RNA, 81 nt
Filed under: Flavobacterium succinicans
Lineage: Bacteria; Pseudomonadati; Bacteroidota; Flavobacteriia; Flavobacteriales; Flavobacteriaceae
Description: Flavo-1 RNA
Rfam family: Flavo-1 RNA
Source: Rfam by way of RNAcentral